Molecule: RNA transcript, 11312 nt
Organism: Diabrotica virgifera virgifera (western corn rootworm)
Lineage: Eukaryota; Metazoa; Arthropoda; Insecta; Coleoptera; Chrysomelidae
Exons: 7
Source: RefSeq, a predicted model, not a curated record
CUUGUACCCAUUUCACGCCACACAAUAAUGGCAGUUAAAGGUUUCAGUAGAGAAGAUUCGGGACUGGAAGAGUAUUUUUCAAAAGAGUUAUAAAAUAUAGAAUGUAAUACAACUUACAUAAAAGUUGGAGAAUGUUUGGGAGCAAACUAAGGUCUUGGAUGGAGGCUGUGCGGUCCAGGAAAAAGCAACACAGGAAGGAAAAACAGGGGAAAAGCAAUGCUGCGUCCUUAGGGCAAAAAAAUAAUGUUAAAUGGGAUACAAACUGUGCGACUGUGAUUGACGGCUACAAGGAGAAUGAGCGGGAAGUCAUUAAGAGCCAUUUAUUAAAAGAAAAUCAAAGCCAAUCAGGAUCAUCAGGUGUUUCCAAUUCCCGAUAUUCGGCUAAUAACUUAUCAUCGCCUGAGUCUGCUUAUUCCACUGGGUACUCCACCGAUGGUACUUCACCUGGAGCGCCGCCAGAUAAUUUGCUGAAUACAACCAAAGCACCAGAUAUCUGUCAUCCCCGCAUUGCUGUAUUGAAUCCAAUUCAAAACCCCAGUGCUGCAAAUGUUAAGAACCCUGUACAGCUUCCAAACUCAUCUAAAGCUUUGCCAAAUCAUCUCAAAGAUCAUCGAACCCCCAUUUUUAAGAAAAGAGAACUCGACGAAUCCAAGUUUGCAGCUCCGAGCAGAGUCAAUGAGAAGAUCGUCGGGAACCUGAGUCCAGCUCUUGGGAUCACGUCACCCAGACAGCGCAAUAGGAUAAGGACGAAUCCAUGGUUACCUGGAGCUACACUCAGCCCAAGUCCCGUCAAGCAUGGCCUUAACAAGGGCAAAGCUGCAGCUAAAUCCAGUAAAGAUAGCCCGAAACUUCGUAGAUUUCUCAGUCCAGCGCUUAGUAGAAAGCAGUCUUUAUCGACUUCAUCCAGUUCUUCCUUGAGUGCCACUAGUAUCCAGCUGGAAGUGCCAAGACCUAAAUCAGUAAGUGACGAAGAUUGUACUCUCAAUGAGAUGAUGGGUAAAUAUGAUGAAAGCUAUGUUUAUGAGAAGGAGACUGACAUAUUAAGUGACAGCGAUCCAACUGAUUGUGAGACUGACAUAGAUACAGGACAGGAUGGGGGUGAUGAAGAUGAGCCUUUCGAAACAGAGUUAGAUUUUAUAGACAAUGGCUCAUUCUUGGACUUUGAAGCGAACAGAGCAGACCUAAAUACGGGGCACUGUUCUUAUUAUACCUACGAUGUUCAGAGAAAGAGGUCCUCCAGACGAAGGACACAACGUAGGAAUACUAAAUCGAGUGAAAAGAAAAGGAAGUCUUGCUCGAAUAAAAAGAAGCAAUCCAAACAAGUUGAUAGAGAAAAACGUAUUAAUCCUUACAUAGAUGGCUCUAAAAGUGCUGGAGCUACCCCUGUUUCCGUCCGUCGUGCCAAUUGUAGGCCAAUUUCCAAGUUGGCAUUAGAUGAUUGUUUGAGAAAACGGUCUAAUUCAGUCGGUUUCUCCAAUGACCCCAUUAACAAUAUAGAUAAAAGGGAUAAAGAAGCCGACCUAAAGUAUAGAGAACUUAUUAGUGAAGCCGAACAUAUUCUACGCGCUAUGAAGACAAAUGGCCUAUCGCCAAGAAGAGUACCAGGUCCUGCUAAUAAAAGGGUGGAACUUUUAAGAAUAGCUGAAUGUGCAAAACCUGAAGUUUUUGUUAAGAACAGACCACCUGAAGAUACUGUCAUUAGCAACCCGUUUUGUUCGAAAAUUCCGUCCAAUAGUGGCUAUAGUUGUCCACGAUUUAGCCCUAAGAAGAAUCAUAUCACUAAAUUUAUAAUCAGUAACUCUCCGGUACUGGCAAGAAAGGAAUGGGAAAUGCAAGCUCAGAUAUACAAAUCUCCAAUGUCUUGUAGGAAAUUGCCGGAAGAUCCUCACACUCCUCAACAUGUGUCUUUAAAAGACAGGCAUAGUGAGGCUGUUAGAAGUCCAAAAUAUAGAAAAAAGCUGACCAAGAGGGUUCCAGAUUCUAGCUCGGACUCAGAUGAAGAUUUAAGAAGAAGCUUCUUAAGAGUUGGCAGUUGCCCUCAAAGUGAACCAGUAAGAAGGAAAGUAUAUAACCAAAAUGGAGGAAAGACAGUAGCUUUUAAUUUAUCUAACGAAGGAUCGACAAGGCAAGAAUGCACCAGCAGUAGCGAUAACUUAAGACAACAAGUUCUUUUGAACACUAUUGUUAAUUUGAAAAAGAAUUUAGAAGAUCAUUCGGCUUCACUAAAACAAGUUUAUAGAAGUUCCAAUAACAUUUACUCAUAAGAUUGAGAAAGGCACUGUGCAAUCAUAUAUUUUAUACUCAUAUUCCCGAUAAGAAGCCGAUAAUAUAAUGAAGCGUGGAUUAUAAUGAAUGCUGUUAUCUACAUACAGAAACCUGUGCUUACCAGUACCUACAUUUAUAUUAAGGUUAUUUUUGAGAAAGUUUCAGGAUGCAUCCUAAUGUCGGUUACAUGACAUCUCGUAAUGCGACAGUUCUUAACCCGACAAAUGGUGACGGACACUUCGUAACGCCAUAAGUUCGUAAUGGACAAUUCGUAACGCCAUAAGUUCGUAACGGACAAUUCGUAACGGCAACAUUUGAGUUUUUUAGCAAAUUUAGUAUUACUGAAUUUAUACCGAAACGCGUUUUGCGUAUAUUCCUAUAUUAAAAGUAAUGGUACUUUUUUUAAGACCACAUCUUUUUAAAUAUAUUUCACACAUAAUUGCGUAUAUUCUUAUUUGUAUAACUAAAUAAUUUUUUAAAAGUUUUUACCUUGAAUUAUGACUUUAAAGUAGUAAAACUAGGCCGUCCGCACUCGAGUUGACGCUCGAUGUAGUCGACUCGAUUCCAGUCGCGUAGAUCUCUCCCCGUCACUCAAGUUUCUUCGUUGUGGCGUUGAGCUCCAGAGGCGGGGCGUUUAAGAUUGCAUAUCUCCUCAUCUAGUACGACUCUCGUUCCUUGCGAUCGGUAGCGCACGAGAAAAUUCGAGUUAGACGCUCGUUUCCAGUCAUUAUUUUAUUUGUUUCCUUCGUUUUUUGUUGAUUUUUGUGCUAAACUAAAUCAUAGUUUUUUUUUAAAGAUCGGUGAAUGUUAUGUUUGUUGAUUGUAGUACUAUUAGCUUUGUGGCAAUAUAUUGUUUGUAAUAUAAAAUUUUGAAAACAUUGAAAUUCUGUUUCUAGGUGUUUGUUAUCAAAUUAGUUGGGGAAGUAGAAAAAUACCCUCAAUUGUAUAAUGCUCAUUUUAUACAAAAUAUACGAAACAUGUAACACUACCGUAAUUUUGACAGAUCGAAAUAGUCGUUUUGGUUGAUAUAUAAAAAAUGCAUUCUUCCUGGGUGGAAGAUGUGAGCAAACUGAAUCGACUAGUGUGCGGAGAGCAAUCGCUUGUGGCGCAGGGUUCGUACAAGACGAGCAAGACGCGCGAACUUCGAGACGUGUCUUCGAUCGACCCAUGUGCGGACGGCCUAAGUCUGAAUAGUAAUGAAACAUAUAAAAACGGUUUUAAUAAUACUGUAUUUAUUAUCAAAAUUAAUACAAUUUACAUUACUAGAUUAUAUUUAUUUUAAGACAUAACUUUAAAUAUUUUCCCCAAGAAAUAUGAAAUGUGUUAAAAUGUUUAUUCUGAUGCUAGUUGUUAAAAUUGAUAAACGAAAUUUCAACUGUAACUGUAAUAAAAGUUAGAUUCCACGUUAACAAAAAUAAACAGAAUAAUUCAAUUUUGACUUUACAAAUUAUAGCAUUUGUUACGGUAUGGCGUUACGAAUUUUCCGUUACGAUUUGUGGCGUUACGAACUGUGGCGUUACGAGAUGUCUUGUCAAGCCUAAUGUCGCUGCUUUUUAUAACGCCUUUACUUAUAAAGUAAAAUAUUCAGGGUAACAAAACUACAAAUCGAAUAAAGAACGUAACUUAUUAAGCAACUUUGCUUUUUUGAUCAGUAGACUACGAGAUACAAAAACAAAGAAUUCAACUAAAAUAUCUUUUAAUAUUACUUUCAUCUUUCAAAUAAAACUGACAUAUUUCAGAGGAGUAUGCUAAACAAAAUGGGGAUGCAGAACAGCUUUAUAACAGCCUAUACGAGUAUGGGCUUAUACAUAUAUAUGUAUUUCCCAUUUUUUAAAAAAACUGGUUUUUAGGGGUUUUUGAGGAUGUUCCCCAUUUUAUAUACUUCAAAAUAGAUCACAUCAAGACAUUUUAUAGGUAAUAUAUAAUUUGAAGUAAUUAAUUUCUUUAGUUCAUCAUAUAUCAUACAUCUCCAAGUGGAGCAAAGGGCACCUUGCGGUGUUUCAAGUAGCAUGAGGAAUGAUGGUGAGGUUGCUAGUCCCACGCAUCAUCUGUUGAGUUCCGUCCAAUUUUGUUUACUAGUUUUCUCCAUUCUCUUCUGUUUUUUGCUAUCUUUUUUGCAUCGUUCCAUGUUAAAUUAUUUUCUUUGAGUUCUUUCUCUAUUGUUCUUUUCCACGUAUAAGAUGGUCUACCCAUUCUUCUUUUGCCUUGAGCAUGGUAAUGUAGAGCUUGUCUAGCAAUAUUUGUUGCUGGUUUUCGUAAGGUGUGUCCUAUCCACUUCCAUUUCCGUUUUUUUAUUGUAUGUUCUAUCCUUUCUUCAUUUGUUAUUCUCCACAAUUCGUCAUUAGUAAUUUUGUUUGGCCAAAAUAUUCUCAGUAUAAUACGUAGGCACCUGUUAAUGAAGGAUUUUAUUUUCUGAAAGAAUUUUUUAUGGUGUUUCCAUGUUUCUGCUCCAUAUAACAGGAAAGACUUUACAUUAGUUUCAAAUAAUCGUAACUUUGUUCUUCUGCUGAUGUUUGUCGAGGCCCAUAUCUUGCGCAAAGAGUUGAAAGCGUUUUGUGCGAAGCUUAUUCUUUGUGUUAUGUCCUUUUCUGUGCCUCCUGUUGUGUUUAGCAGACUGCCCAAAUAACAGAAAUCGUUUACUUCUUCUAUUUGUUUCCCUUCCAAAUAUAUAUUGUUUCCGUUCGAUUCCCCAUUUGAUAGUAUUUUCGUUUUUUUCGGAUUUAUUUUUAAGCCGGUUGUUUUUGCUAUGCUGUUCAAUCUGGUGAUUUUGUUUUGCAUGUGUUGUCUGUUUGAUGUUAUGAGACAUAUGUCGUCAGCGAACUCUAGAUCCUCUAGUUUUGUAAAUGGUGACCAUUGUAUACCUGUUUUUUUAUCUUCAGUUUGUUUCAUUAUCCAAUCUAUGACUAUUAUAAACAAUGUCGGUGACAAGACACAGCCCUGUCUUACUCCUUUUUUGAUGCUUAUUUGUUGGAAUAGUUCCCCUUCAUGUUCAACUCUGCCAAAACAUUCGUCGUAGAAAAGCUUUAUUACUCUUAUAUAUUUGUCUGGUAUUCCAUAGAGUUUUAAUAUCCUCCACAUCAUAUUACGAUUUAUUGAAUCAAACGCUUUUUCGAAGUCUACAAAGUUGAUAUAAACUUCCUGAUUCAUUUCUGCUGAUUGUUCCAGGAUGAUUAUUAGGGUAUUUAUAUGGUCAAUACAGGAACUGUUCGGUCUGAAUCCUAUUUGGUUAAUUCUUAAUUUUUCAUUUAUGGGAUCUUUAAUUCUCUCCAAUAUUAUUCUGGCCAUUAUUUUGGUAGCUACAGUGAGAAGAGUGAUUGGUUUCCAGUUUUCGCAUAGUGUGAGAUUUCCUUUCUUUGGUAGCUUUAUUAUAACUCCUUCACCCCAAUCUUUUGGUAUCUUUUCCUCGAUCCAAAUUUUUUUAAAUAGUAAGUAGUACAUAUCCACUGAGAAGUUUAAGUGUGAUUUUAUCAAUUCUGCGGGAAUUCCAUCAACACCACCCGCUUUGUCGUUUUUAAAAGGUUUAUAGCAUACCUUAUUUCGUCCUUCGUAAAUUCGUCGUUUCUUAUGAUUAAUGUUUCGUUUCUCUCAGUUUCUUCCAUCUCUAUUUGUGAUUCAAUUCCUUCUUCAUAGAGUUCUGCGAAGAAUUGUGUCCAUCUUUGGGCAAUUUCUUUUUGACUUGUGAGUGUUUCUCCUUCUUUCCCCAUUAGUUUCGUUCUUUGCUGGCUCUUGCCCCCUUUAAUUUGUUUGGUUAUUGCGUAAAGUGUCCUUGUGUCAUGCAUUAUCGCUGCUUCCUCUGCUUUUUCUGCCAUUUGUUCCAUAUACAGCCUUUUAUCUGUUCUGGCUUGUUUUUUAACUUCUUUAUUUUUUUCUGUGUAUUUUUCCUGCAUUUCUUUUUGUUUUAUCGGGUUUGUUGUUUUGAUCAAUUCAGUUUUGAUUGCUCUUCUUUCCUUGAUUUUUGUUUUAGUGUCCAGCGUUAUCCAUGGUCGAUCAGCUUUCUCCUUGCACCCUAAUAUCUCUUUCCCUGCCUCCAUGUACGCGUUUUUAUAUAUUUCCCAUAUACCUUCAAUGCUAGAUUUUCCUACUUGUUUCAAGUUCCCCACAUGCUUCUCCAACGUUUCUUAAUUUAUUUGUAUUGAAUUUUCUAUGUUUUUUGUUUGAUUUAUAAUUUGCCUUGAGGCUAAUUUUUAUUUUUGCUCUCACUAAUUCGUGGUCUGAUGCACAGUCGGCUCCUCUCAUUGCUCUCACAUCUUGUAAGGAAUUUUUCCACUUCUUUUCAAUGAGAAUGUGGUCAAUUUGGUUUUUAAAUUUUCCUCCUGGUGACGUCCAUGUUGUUUUAUGGAUAUCUUUAUGUUGGAAUAAUGUUCCCCCAAUCAUCAUAUCGUUUGUCGAGCAAAGUUCUAUUAAUCUCGUGCCAUUGUCAUUCCUUUCUCCCAUGCCAUGAAUCCCCAUUACAUGUUCAUUUCCAUUAUUAUUAGAUCCUACUUUGGCGUUCCAAUCCCCCAAAACGAUUUUUAUAUCCCGUUUAUAUGUUUUUUGUAUUUUUGCUAGCAACAUAUACAUCUGGUCGUAGAACUCUUCCUUUGUUUCAUCUUCUUGUUGAUUUGUUGGAGCAUACACAUUAAUUAUUAUUAAGUUUCUGCUUUGAAAUCUUCCCCAUAUAAUUCUCUCAGAGACAUUCUCCCACUCCACCAAUGCUUGGGCCGAUGCUUUAUUUAACAUUAAUGCCACCCCUUUUUCUUUGUCUGAGUUUAUAUCUUUGCCAGAAUAGAUGACAGUAGUUCCACACUGUAAUUGGAUUCGUCCUGACCCAUUCCAUCUAGUUUCACUGAUCCCUAGUAUGCUUAUGUUGUAUCUACCCAUUUCUGUUGCUAUCUGAUGUGCUUUACUUAUUUCCGCCAUUGUUCGUACAUUCCAUCAACCUAUAAAUAUGUUUUCCCUUGUAUCAAUUUCUCCUUCUAUUGAUUUCCAAGUUUUGUUUCUAUUUCUUUUUUUCUUGCUAUUUACCCUAUUUCUCCCCACCUUGUCUGUUUGCAAAACCAUACUCAUAUCCAUUUCGCGCGAUGUUGUCUCCGUAUGUUGUUAAUUCCGUUAGUUAAACACCUUUAAACCCACUAAAUACCAGAUUUUUCAAAGUUUAUAAGGGUUUUUGCGGGGUUAAUCACAUUUUUUGAAAAUUAAUAUAACCUGAAUCAAGGCGUCUCCAAUUCAAAUUCCAAAAAUAUGAAAAAUAAUAGUUUCAGAUCUCAAAGAAGCAAAUACAACCAGGUUUCAAUGGUUAUUUGGGGGUUUUACUGGAUUUACCCAACUUUUUUUUACGUUUCAUUAAAUAGCGUUUUCAAAAAUAUAGUAUGCGGCAAAAUAAACAUUGCUGAAAUGAAUAUUGAGAUGUUAACGAUUAUUUAUAUAUUUAGUAUACAUGAUAUAGCCUUGCAAACAUUAUUCACGACGACGUUCCCCAUAAAACAUGUUAAAAAUGCACGAAAAAAUCUUUAAUUCUAGCCCGCAAUUCCGGAAUGUCAACCGGUCGAUCGGUCUACCUCUUUCAGCUUUCCCCAUAAUAAUAUAUAGAUACGCAUCAGGUCGCGUUAGGUCUGGUGAGUGGCGAUAUCCCAGAAUGAUCGAGCAGUAUUCGAAGAGACUCCUGAGAACUUUCUUGAAGCACCUAAUGUUAACACGACAUUCAUAUACGUCAUAACGACGUUCGUAAACCACUCGGUGCGUGUCGGCGCAUGAAAUAUAUAAAUUGAAGGCAUAUGCAUUUGAGUACUGUUUAUUUUGCCGCAUACCGUAUUAUAAAAUAACAGUAGACGAUGUAUUUCCCAUAGAAGCUAGAUAUUUCUUGAAACAUGCGAAAACCCCUGUUUUCUUUGAAAUGCUCGGUUUAAUAGUGUUUAAAGGUGAUAAAAGAGGAAAAAUUCAGCAAAAACUUUCAAAAAACAUUUGAAAACCGUGUUUUUCGUAUAAGAUGAGAUUGCAUAUUAUUUUUCUAUAGCUGCAAAAUACAUCAUCUCAUGUUUUCCAAGAACAUACUUUGAAAGGUGCCAUUUAUUGGCGCCUAACGGCCAAAAAUUAGAAUAAUCCAACAAAAACACCGAAAAAUACUUGAAAAUCGUGUUUUUCGUAUGUUUUAAAAAAUAUCUAGCUUCCCGGAAUAUGAGAAUUAAUCCUCUCAUGAUAUUUUAUAAGAUUUUUAAAAACAUGUUUUUUAAUGAUGUAAGAAAAGUAAAAAAGUUGGGUAAACCCAGUAAAAACCACAGGAUAACCCUUGAAAAACUGAUUUUUUUGCAUAAACAAUGAUCCGAUAAACAAUGUAUCGAUCUAAAAAGAAUAUGAAUAACGGCAAAAACUCACAAAAAUCUUUAAAAACCUUGAAAAACAUGGUUUUUUGGGAGUUUAUAGACGUUUAGUCCAAUUUUUGAAUAUCCUAAAGGAAUCCAUUACUUCAUAUUAUAUAAUCAUAAAAAAACAUUGAUUAAUUUGACAUAUUUUGAACUCUAUAAAAUAUGAAAAAUCCCCAAAACACUUAAAAAGCCCAGUUUUUCGGUUUUUUGAACGUGGCGUACCUUACGGAAAAUCUGGACAAUUCAGAGAUAUAUUUUCUAUAAAAUAUAUUUUUCCUCAUUUUCCCUCCCCGUAGAUCCGCCACUGGCCAGAGGGCAUCUCUAACAUCUGUUUUAUCCGGAAUGUGCGUCGUCGUGAAUAAUGUUUGCAAGGCUAUAUCAUGUAUACUAGAUAAUAUGUAUAUAAAUCAUCAUAAACAUUUUAAUAUUCAUUUCAGUACUGUUUAGUAUGUAUUCAGUACAGUAUUGUACUUGUGUCAGUUCGGUAGUAAAUUCUCUCUAUUCAGCCCUCUGUUCAAGAUUUUAUGUAUCAUAUGGAAUCAUGUCUCUCAUAUAAAUUUAAUUAGUUAGUUUGGUAUUCAUCCAGGAUUUUUUCUAAGAAAAAAGCGACCAUAUUCUUGCAGACUGUUCUAUAAAAUCUUAUAUUGGUACUACCCACAGGGAAAUAAAAGCAGCGCAUUGCUGAUCAGCUAGCUAGGAAUAGGAAGGCAGUAGGCCUAAGACUCUUAGGACUUGAUCUUUUUUCUGGUCAACUACAACAAUCUCGGAAAUUGCCAAAUGUCACUCCCACACGCAAACCGUGAAAAGUUGGGAAGAAGGACCAGGAUGUAGACUUGCCAAGGUAACACUAAGGAACCUUGGGAAGCCAGCAUCAGAAAAGUACUUGAGAAUGACCAGGAAAAGCCUACGCUUGACAGUUGAUUUUUUAACUGGCCAUUGUCAACUAAGCGAACACCUCCACACACUGGAGCUAGUAGACACACCUCUGUACAGAAAGUGUGAACGAGUUAACGAAACUGUUGAGCUUGUCCUAUGUGAAUGUCCGGAGUUAUUGGCAAUACAAGAGUAUGCGUUCGGCGAGCAUUAGUCUACACCUGCCGAUAUAGGGGAGAUGCACCCUGGUGAUUUGCCCCCUUCCUGGAAAUGACAGGAUGGACAAUGAGCUAAGGACAGCCUGAGAAUAUGCACAAUGGGUCAAUACGACCAAAGAUAUGGAAUACGACCUCUAUGGAUCCCAGAAAAAGGUGUGGAAGAUGAUAAGGAGACAAAAAUCAGAAAUGAAUGAAUUUGUACGGAUAGAUAACAUUACGGAGACACAAUGGACUGAGCAUUUCACGAAAUUAUAUGGAGGAGGAGAAGAAGAGAACAGAGAAAUAAACAUUAAUGAAACAGUGCUUUUGACAGGGUGAGGCGAAAUGAUAUCUUAAAUUUAUUACAAGCUGAACAAAUAGACCACCAGAUAAUAAGGCUAAUUAAUGAAAUUAACAAGAACAACCAGAGUUAUAAUGUCAACAGGAGAAACAGAACGCAUAGAACUGAAAGGAGGAAUCCGCCAAGGAGUCUCGCUCAGUCCAUUGUUAUUCAAUAUGGUGAUGAAUCAAAUAAUUCACGAAUUAAGAAAACGACAUGGAUACCACAUGGGAGUGCAUAAAAUCACGAUACUAUGCUAUGCCGAUGAUGCAGUACUAAUUGCUGAUAAAGAGGAAGACCUACACCACACUUUCAAUAUCACAGCAAAUAAACUUAAUAUGAGAAUAUCAGUAAAAAAAACUAAAUGUAUAGUGUUAGAAAUAAGCUACUAUAGUGUAAGCGACAGAAUUGAGAUUAUGCAGGAGAUGAAAAAAACAUAUUGACAAGCUAUUUAUGAACAUACGGAUACCAACAUUGUGGUACGAAAAACUCAGGGAAGGCAAAAUGUUUUUAGCCAGAUUGAAAGAUGUUCGUAUUGGUCUUUGGAUAUACAAUAAUAUUGCAUUAAAACCUCACUUUGACCCAAUAUGUCGCUUACAACAUUGUUGUAGCCCACCAUUCAAUUGUGGCCUAAGUGCUGUGAGACUUGACUCGCCCUUCCUACUCUACAGAGAUACAGAUACCCACAAGUUCCUGUUUAGCACUCCUUUUUAGGUUUGGCACUAAAUAUUGAGCAAUUAAGAAAAUAGUGAUAUUGAAAGAUGUUUUAAAUAGUUUUUAAGAUGUUAAAUUAAAAUGUCUACUGAUAGUAUAUGCCUAAAUAUAAAUAAGAUAAUGUUGACUAACCCAUCUUUUGUACAUCUAUUCUUCCACGAAUAUUAUUUAUAUAAGUCUCUACGAAUUCUUCCAUAAAACUGUCCAGAAAAUGACAUUUUAAAUGUCAAUAAAACGUUAAGUUGUCUAAGUAUCUUUCCAGUCUUCCCAACGAAAUAUUUUUUUGAAAGAUUUUAAGGACAAUAAAUAAAUUUUCACUUUCAUAACGUUUUGUUAGAAAAUUUCAGCUGAAGUUAAAGCGUUGAGAUAUAAAACCCUGUAAGUAAUGUAUAUUAAACUGGCCUAUUUUUGAUGAAAUAAAGAUGAAAAGAGUGUAAAUUAAUCAAGCAUUAAAUAUUUUCUGAAAAACAUCAGGACAGCACACUGAGCUUACUAAUUCAUGUUGUGAUCUACAUAGAUAUUUCAUUGUUAAAUUUUUACAUUGUUUACUCCGUAAGUACAAUAAACUGAUAUACAUAACUA